RNAcentral lists this non-coding RNA (19 nucleotides) under Mus musculus (house mouse). The record is from RNAcentral. Lineage: Eukaryota; Metazoa; Chordata; Mammalia; Rodentia; Muridae.
UGGAAGCAAUACUGAUACC